Molecule: long non-coding RNA, 889 nt
Filed under: Homo sapiens (human)
Lineage: Eukaryota; Metazoa; Chordata; Mammalia; Primates; Hominidae
Description: long non-coding RNA NONHSAT163929.1
Source: RNAcentral
CUCCAGCAGUCGGAGGGCGCCUCAGACAGGCAUCGUGGAUGAGUGCUGCUUCCGGAGCUGUGAUCUAAGGAGGCUGGAGAUGUAUUGCGCACCCCUCAAGCCUGCCAAGUCAGCUCGCUCUGUCCGUGCCCAGCGCCACACCGACAUGCCCAAGACCCAGAAGGAAGUACAUUUGAAGAACGCAAGUAGAGGGAGUGCAGGAAACAAGAACUACAGGAUGUAGGAAGACCCUCCUGAGGAGUGAAGAGUGACAUGCCACCGCAGGAUCCUUUGCUCUGCACGAGUUACCUGUUAAACUUUGGAACACCUACCAAAAAAUAAGUUUGAUAACAUUUAAAAGAUGGGCGUUUCCCCCAAUGAAAUACACAAGUAAACAUUCCAACAUUGUCUUUAGGAGUGAUUUGCACCUUGCAAAAAUGGUCCUGGAGUUGGUAGAUUGCUGUUGAUCUUUUAUCAAUAAUGUUCUAUAGAAAAGAAAAAAAAAAUAUAUAUAUAUAUAUAUCUUAGUCCCUGCCUCUCAAGAGCCACAAAUGCAUGGGUGUUGUAUAGAUCCAGUUGCACUAAAUUCCUCUCUGAAUCUUGGCUGCUGGAGCCAUUCAUUCAGCAACCUUGUCUAAGUGGUUUAUGAAUUGUUUCCUUAUUUGCACUUCUUUCUACACAACUCGGGCUGUUUGUUUUACAGUGUCUGAUAAUCUUGUUAGUCUAUACCCACCACCUCCCUUCAUAACCUUUAUAUUUGCCGAAUUUGGCCUCCUCAAAAGCAGCAGCAAGUCGUCAAGAAGCACACCAAUUCUAACCCACAAGAUUCCAUCUGUGGCAUUUGUACCAAAUAUAAGUUGGAUGCAUUUUAUUUUAGACACAAAGCUUUAUUUUUCCACAUCAUGCUUAC